CCCUUAGAUGUUCUGGGCCGCACGCGCGCUACACUGAUUCAUGCAACAAGUUUUGUCCUUGGCUGAUAGGCCUGGGUAAUCUUUGAACGUGAAUCGUGAUGGGGAUAGAUGAUUGCAAUUAUUCAUCUUCAACGAGGAAUUCCUAGUAAACGCAAGUCAUCAGCUUGCAUUGAUUACGUCCCUGCCCUUUGUACACACCGCCCGUCGCACCUACCGAUUGAAUGGUCCGGUGAAAUCUCGGGACGGCGGCUCGGUCGCUUGCGUCCGACUGCUGAAACUUGAUUAAACCAUAUCAUUUAGAGGAAGGUGAANUCGUAACA
Molecule: ribosomal RNA, 320 nt
Filed under: uncultured eukaryote
Lineage: Eukaryota
Description: partial 18S ribosomal RNA
Rfam family: Eukaryotic small subunit ribosomal RNA
Source: RNAcentral